CAAAGAUUAAGCCAUGCAUGUCUAAGUACAGGCCUACCCAAGGCGAAACCGCAAAUGGCUCAUUAAAUCAGUCAUGAUUCAUUGGAUGUUGAUGAAUUUUUUACUCGGAUAACCGUGGCAAUUCUAGAGCUAAUACGUGCAACCGAGCUCCGACCCCGCCAUACCAGGCGGGGGAAGGGCGCAUUUAUUAGAAUCAUAAACCGAGCGGACUCCGGUCCGUCUCAUACGAGGUUGUGAUGACUCUGAAUAACUAUGCCGAGCGUUGAGGCCUUAGUGCCGGCGCCGUAUCUUUCGAGUGUCUGCCUUAUCAGCUUUCGAUUGUAGGAUAUACGCCUACAAUGGCUGUAACGGGUAACGGGGAAUCAGGGUUCGAUUCCGGAGAGGGAGCCUGAGAAACGGCUACCACAUCUAAGGAAGGCAGCAGGCACGCAAAUUACCCACUCCCGGCUCGGGGAGGUAGUGACGAUAAAUAACGAUGCGGGACUCUUCCGAGGCCUCGCAAUCGGAAUGAGUUCACUCUAAAUACUUGGACGAGGAUCCAUUGGAGGGCAAGUCUGGUGCCAGCAGCCGCGGUAAUUCCAGCUCCAAUAGCGUAUAUUAAAGUUGCUGCGGUUAAAAAGCUCGUAGUUGGACUUUAAGAUACGUGCCGGCGGCCCAUCCAAGGCGCGCCCUCGCCGACUCGCUGGGGGGUUGGGACGUUCGUACGUUAACGAGGUUUUACCUCCGUUGCUGCGGCGCUCCUCUUUCCCACCCCUUCGAGGCAUUUCCCCUAAACCGCGUAUGGUUUUCCUUUCCCAUUCAAUUUAACCUCGCGAAAUCGGCCUCUCGUACCCUCGUCGAUCGACCUCCGUACUUAACGUGUUCGGGUUUCGGUCAGCGUUCCCUCCGCAAAUACGCCUUUUCUCUCUCUUCCCCGAUCAAAACGUCGACCGCGGGUCACCGACGAUUAACCUCGUCGCCCCCUUUCGGCUACGGGGCUAGAAGAAAAAGGCCUCUGUUUCGGGCUAACAGGGCUCGCUGUCCCCGUUCUACUUAUUUACGCGUCCCGACGUUUUUGGGGCGGGAAUUAGCGCCCUUCGUCUUGGGGAAAGGGGUUCAUAAAGGUUAAUUCAUUCGCGGCGGGGAUCGUGUCCGAGAAGGGGGUCCCGCGGGCUGCGGGUAAGCGCGCCCGGUGGUUCACUGGCCGGUCACGAAUUUUUAAAAGCCGUCGGCUCUCACGGGGUGCUCUUUACCGAGUGUCCCGCGUGGCCGACACGUUCACUUUGAAAAAAUUAGAGUGCUCAAAGCAGGCAAAUUUUAUAGCCUGAAUGUCGAUGCAUGGAAUGAUGGAACAGGACCUCGGUUCUGCAUUUUUCUCUCGGUUUUCCGAACCCGAGGUAAUGAUUAACGGGAACGGACGGGGGCAUUAGUAUUGCGACGCUAGAGGUGAAAUUCUUGGACCGUCGCAAGACUAACUACUGCGAAAGCAUUUGCCAAGAACGCUUUCAUUAAUCAAGAACGAAAGUUAGAGGAUCGAAGGCGAUCAGAUACCGCCCUAGUUCUAACCUUAAACGAUGCCAACUGGCGAUCCGCUUAAAGUCAUUCCCACGACUGAGCGGGGAGCCCCCGGGAAACCGAAGUCUUUGGGUUCCGGGGGAAGUAUGGUUGCAAAGCUGAAACUUAAAGGAAUUGACGGAGGGGCACCACCAGGAGUGGAGCCUGCGGCUUAAUUUGACUCAACACGGGGAACCUCACCAGGCCCAGACACCGGAAGGAUUGACAGAUUGAGAGCUCUUUCUCGAUUCGGUGGGUGGUGGUGCAUGGCCGUUCUUAGUUGGUGGAGCGAUCUGUCUGGUUGAUUCCGAUAACGAACGAGACUCUACCCUAUUAACUAGUCGGUGGAUCGUAUCCCGAGACGGGUUCCCUACCGGGGGGUUCGGCACGGUUCUUCGGGCCUCCGGCCGCGGCGUCCUUCCUCUUAUAGCGGCGGGUGCGUCGUCUGCUGUCGUCGCGUCUCUCUUCUCGCUAGGGCCUUUGGGUCUUGGUCGGGGAGGGUUGCUCGCGCGGCAGUAUGGCGUUCCCCCGUGCGCGUAGGGGGGCUAAAAGGGGGCGUCGUGCGUCGUACGAGGUCUCGCGUCCGCGCUCGCUACACCCCUCGCGUAGGGCCCAGCGAGGGGCGUCCUCCGCAACAUCUUCUUAGAGGGAUCGGCGGCGUCCAGCCGCACGAGAGAGAGCAAUAACAGGUCUGUGAUGCCCUUAGAUGUUCUGGGCCGCACGCGCGCUACAAUGAAGGGAUCAGCGUGCUUUCCCCCUCCGAAAGGAGCGGGUAACCCGAUGAAACCCCUUCCCGCUUGGGAUUGGGGAUUGUAAGUGUUUCCCAUGAACGAGGAAUUCCCAGUAAGCGCAAGUCAUCAGCUUGCGAUGAUUAAGUCCCUGCCCCUUGUACACACCGCCCGUCGCUACUACCGAUUGAAUGAUUCAGUGAGGGCGUCGGACUAGCGCCCUCGGUAGCCCUCGGUUUUCGCGUUUUACCGCCGUCGCCCUUAGGGGCGUAUGCGGGCGCGGCCGACUAGGCACCCCGGGCCGCCGGAAAGACGUCCGAACUUGAUCAUUUUAGAGGAAGUAAAAGUCGUAACAAGGUUUCCGUA
Molecule: ribosomal RNA, 2627 nt
Filed under: Paracilicaea mossambica
Lineage: Eukaryota; Metazoa; Arthropoda; Malacostraca; Isopoda; Sphaeromatidae
Description: partial 18S ribosomal RNA
Rfam family: Eukaryotic small subunit ribosomal RNA
Source: RNAcentral